Molecule: non-coding RNA, 78 nt
Organism: Pelobates cultripes (western spadefoot toad)
Lineage: Eukaryota; Metazoa; Chordata; Amphibia; Anura; Pelobatidae
Source: the annotation of a GenBank genome assembly
CUGAGAGGCAGAGAGCCAGCACAGUCUGCAGUUCUGCCGGGUGUGAGCUUCAGACUGUGCUGGCUCUCUGUCUCUCAG